GAUGGUUGCGUGCACGGGUGACCGUGUAUGAGGAAAGUCCGGGCUCCACAGGGCAGAAUGCAAGCUAACGGCUUGCGGAGGCGACUCCAGGGAAAGUGCAACAGAAAAUUACCGCCUGCGCUGCGGGUAAGGGUGAAAAGGCGAGGUAAGAGCUCACCCGUUCCCAUGGUGACAUGGGAACGCUGUAAACCCCAUUCGGAGCAACGCCUGACACGGAGGCUAAGUUGGCCCGACAUCUCCGGAUACGGCGGCUUGAGGCGAGUGGUGACAUUCGUCCCAGAUAGAUGACCAUCCACGACAGAACCCGGCUUACGGAUU
This 318-nucleotide RNase P RNA is filed under the name bovine gut metagenome. RNAcentral's name for it is "Bacterial RNase P class A". It matches the Rfam family "Bacterial RNase P class A". From Rfam's summary of the family: Ribonuclease P (RNase P) is a ubiquitous endoribonuclease, found in archaea, bacteria and eukarya as well as chloroplasts and mitochondria. Its best characterised activity is the generation of mature 5'-ends of tRNAs by cleaving the 5'-leader elements of precursor-tRNAs. Cellular RNase Ps are ribonucleoproteins. The record is from RNAcentral.